GCCUCUUUGGCACAGUGGUACUGCGUCGCACUCGUAAUGCGAAGAUCGCUCGUUCGAUUCGGGCAAGAGGCA
Transfer RNA from Saitoella complicata NRRL Y-17804, 72 nucleotides. It matches the Rfam family "tRNA". Rfam says of the family: Transfer RNA (tRNA) molecules are approximately 80 nucleotides in length. Their secondary structure includes four short double-helical elements and three loops (D, anti-codon, and T loops). Lineage: Eukaryota; Fungi; Ascomycota; Saitoellomycetes; Saitoellales; Saitoellaceae. The record is from Rfam.